This 497-nucleotide ribosomal RNA is filed under the name uncultured bacterium. RNAcentral's name for it is "partial 16S ribosomal RNA". It matches the Rfam family "Bacterial small subunit ribosomal RNA", at positions 28 to 507 of the family's 1533-position model. The record is from RNAcentral.
GAUGAACGCUGGCGGCGUGCCUAAUACAUGCAAGUCGAGCGAACAGACCAGGAGCUUGCUCCUCUGACGUUAGCGGCGGACGUGUGAGUAACACGUGGGUAACCUAGCUAUAAGACUGGGAUAACUUCGGGUACCCGUAGCUAAUACCCGAUAAUAUAUUGAACCGCAUGGUUCAGUAGUGAAAGACGGUUUUGCUUUCCCUUAUAGUUGGAUCCUCGCCUCAUUAGCUAAUUGGUAAGGUAACGUCUUACCAAGGCAACGAUGCAUAGCCGACCUGGGAGAGUGAUCGGAGACACUCGAACUGAGAGAUGGUCCAGACUCCGACGGGGAGAAGCAGUAGGGAACCAUGCGAAAUGGGAGAAAGCAAGACGGAGCAACGCCGCAUGAGCGAUGAAGGUAAUCGGAUCGUAAAACUCUGUUAUUAGGGAAGAACAAAUGUGUAAGUAACUAUGCAAGCAUUGACGGUACCUAAUCAGAAAGCAACGGCUAACUACGUG